AGGACGAACGCUGGCGGCGUGCUUAACACAUGCAAGUCGAGCGGUAAGGCCUUUCGGGGUACACGAGCGGCGAACGGGUGAGUAACACGUGGGUGAUCUGCCCUGCACUCUGGGAUAAGCCUGGGAAACUGGGUCUAAUACCGGAUAUGACCUGCUCUCGCAUGGGGGUGGGUGGAAAGAUUUAUCGGUGCAGGAUGGGACCCGCGGCCUAUCAGCCUGUUGGUGGGGUAAUGGCCUACCAAGGCGACGACGGGUAGCCGACCUGAGAGGGUGACCGGCCACGACUGGGACUGAGACACGGCCCAGACUCCUACGGGAGGCAGCAGUGGGAAUAUUGCACAAUGGGCGAAAGCCGUGAUGCAGCGACGCCGCGUGAGGGUGAAGGCCUCGGUUGUAAACCUCGUUUCCACGCGACGGACGAAGUGACGAAGUAGACGGUACCUCGCGAAGAAAGAAGACGAACCGACCGUAACUAACGUGCCACGCGA
This 488-nucleotide ribosomal RNA is filed under the name uncultured soil bacterium. RNAcentral describes it as "bacterial SSU rRNA". It matches the Rfam family "Bacterial small subunit ribosomal RNA", at positions 26 to 530 of the family's 1533-position model. The record is from RNAcentral.